GGGAAGAAUCUCCUCUCCCCAUAGUCUUCUCUGUCUCAAGUAAUGGAAACUCUGCCCCCUGGUUUUUCUCAGGCUGAAAAUCUCAUAGUCAUCCUGAGAGCUCUCUUUUGGGGCAGUGGGUUAAGGAUCCACGUUGCCAUGAGCUGGAUCUGGUAUUGCAGUGACUGUGGUGUCGGCCAGCAGCUGUAGCUCCUAUUAGACCCCUAGCCUAGGAACCUCCAUAUGCUGCAGGCUGGGCCCUAGAAAAGACAAAAAAAAAAAAAAGAAAGAAAAAGAAAAAAUUAGUUCUCUCCUGAGCAGGGGAUUAAGGAUCCGGCAUUGUCCCUGCACUGGCUCAGGUCUUCAACAAGCUGUGGAAACACAGCCAAAAAAACCUCCAAAAACAUUUAAACUGCUUUGUCCAGGAGUAGAGUUUGACAGAGUCAAAUCUAAGUAUUAUGUUAAGGGAAGAUAUAUUAGUGCACUUAAUCAGAAGAUUGCACAGAAAGCCAUUAUGGGGGAAUUUAGGCAGCAUUGGUCAUUUUCAUCCAAUAGAUGGAGACAGAGUGUAAAGGAUGCAGUUUUUGCAGCUUGUGAAACAAAGAGGGAUUCGAAUUGGGAAUCUGCUUUAGAUUCCUGCCCCUAACACCCCAUUAGGCAUCCAGCCAGGGCUGGCUCCAGUUGCUUGGGGUCAGAGGAUGGAAAGGAGUGUGAAAUGAACUCACCGAACUCAUAGAGUGUACAACAGGGUAAAGCCAUGUGCAAAGGGAAAAAAAAUCUGAUUUUAAUCUGAACACCAAGGGUUUGUUUUUGCAAUUGUGCAAGACUUUGAACUUUAGGAACCAAGGUGGGAUGUCGGUGGAUUUAUGACACUCUUUGGAGUAGAAAUAAAAGAUUGAUAGUAAUAUCCAAAUUGUAAGACUAAUCCUAUUAAAAUUAAAGCUAUCGGCAGUGGUUUUACGGUGAACACGUGUACUAGAGAGAAAGAAAAAAACUGUGAAAAGAAGGCUUGCUAUUCUUCAAGUUACUGUGACUGAUUAAUAACCAGAUACAUUCAGUUUCUGCAAAAUUUUAUCUCUAUGAUGCUAAUAAAAUUUAUUGAAUUAUAAAUAUUGGAUUAUAGUUUGCGGAUCACUUAGUACUCUCGCACUUUUAAGAUAGUCUCCUUGGAGUUCCCGUUGUGGCUCAGGGGGUUAAGAACCCAAUUAGUAUCCAUAAAGAUACAGGUUCAGUCUCUGGCCUCACUCGGUGGGUUAAGUAUCCGGUGUUGCUGUGACCUGCUUUAUAGGCUGCAGAUGUUGCUCCAAUCUGGUAAUGCUGUGGCUGUGGUGUAGGCCAGCAGCUGCAGCUCCAAUUUGACCUCUAGCCUGGGAACUUCUAUGUGCCACAGGUGUGGCCCUAAAAAGAAAAAAAAAAGAAAAAA
RNAcentral lists this long non-coding RNA (1402 nucleotides) under Sus scrofa (pig). RNAcentral describes it as "lncRNA (ENSSSCG00060059827.1)". Lineage: Eukaryota; Metazoa; Chordata; Mammalia; Artiodactyla; Suidae. The record is from RNAcentral.